Molecule: unclassified non-coding RNA, 247 nt
Organism: Mesocricetus auratus (golden hamster)
Lineage: Eukaryota; Metazoa; Chordata; Mammalia; Rodentia; Cricetidae
Source: Ensembl
CUUGCCAUGUACUAAAUAAGCAGCCAGAGACGCCAAGCCCAGACCGAUGGGUUUACACGCAGAGGGAAAAGGAAAGAUUGGGGGGGCACACUUUGGGGAGCAGAACCUCGCCGAGGCCCCAGAGAGCAAACAGGAGGGGGGCCUCAGAAGCUGCCCUGGAGGGUGGGGCUAGAGAAAGAUCCCUGGAAGGAUCUAAGCUGGGACAUUGCUAUUUUUAAUUUUUACUCGAUUCCUAAAGCAUCAAAGU